This 30-nucleotide non-coding RNA is filed under the name Rattus norvegicus (Norway rat). Lineage: Eukaryota; Metazoa; Chordata; Mammalia; Rodentia; Muridae. The record is from RNAcentral.
UGGGCUCUGAUGAUGACAGGUAGUCUUGGU